Molecule: ribosomal RNA, 440 nt
Filed under: uncultured bacterium
Lineage: Bacteria
Description: partial 16S ribosomal RNA
Rfam family: Bacterial small subunit ribosomal RNA
Source: RNAcentral
CCUACGGGAGGCAGCAGUGGGGAAUAUUGCACAAUGGGGGAAACCCUGAUGCAGCGACGCCGCGUGAGUGAAGAAGUAAUUCGUUAUGUAAAGCUCUAUCAGCAGGGAAGAAAAUGACGGUACCUGAGUAAGAAGCCCCGGCUAACUACGUGCCAGCAGCCGCGGUAAUACGUAGGGGGCAAGCGGUAGCCGGAUUUACUGGGUGGAAAGGGAGCGUAGACGGCAGUGCAAGUAUGGAGUGAAAGGCGGGGGCUCAACCCCCGGACUGCUCUGGAAACUGUACGGCUGGAGUGCAGGAGAGGUAAGUGGAAUUCCUAGUGUAGCGGUGAAAUGCGUAGAUAUUAGGAGGAACACCAGUGGCGAAGGCGGCUUACUGGACUGUAACUGACGUUGAGGCUCGAAAGCGUGGGGAGCAAACAGGAUUAGAUACCCGAGUAGUC